UACAAAGGUCUCAAGCGUUGUUCGGAUUUAUUGGGCGUAAAGGGCGCGUAGGCGGCGGGGUAAGUCGGGUGUGAAAUCUCAGGGCUCAACCCUGAAACUGCACUUGAUACUGCUCUGCUUGAGGACUGGAGAGGAGACUGGAAUUCACGGUGUAGCAGUGAAAUGCGUAGAUAUCGUGAGGAAGACCAGUGGCGAAGGCGGGUCUCUGGACAGUUCCUGACGCUGAGGCGCGAAGGCCAGGGGAGCAAACGGG
Molecule: ribosomal RNA, 253 nt
Filed under: uncultured bacterium
Lineage: Bacteria
Description: partial 16S ribosomal RNA
Rfam family: Bacterial small subunit ribosomal RNA
Source: RNAcentral